Lotus japonicus is the source of this 1076-nucleotide long non-coding RNA. RefSeq lists it as uncharacterized. Lineage: Eukaryota; Viridiplantae; Streptophyta; Magnoliopsida; Fabales; Fabaceae. The record is from RefSeq and is a predicted model, not a curated record. The transcript is spliced from 7 exons.
UGUUGUUUUUUAUUUUUUUUUUCUCUUUGCCAGCUGUAAUACGACGUCGUUUCUCAGUUUAGGUUUAUUUCUCUUUAUCUCUCAUGAAUCUCUUUCUACCUGCUCCGCCGGAGCUGUCGUGUUUCUCCUCUCCCUUGCUACCAAAUCCGCCGUACCAUUCGUCACCUUCUGAUUUCCUGAUUUCUCUCCUCUGCGACUGUAGCAGCGUCACAUAUUCCCCGCGUUUCAGCUUCUUCACAUGGCUUUUCCGGCGUUGGCUAUCACGUCGCCCGUCAACUAUUACACCGAUUCAUUUGCUUAUAAAUGCUCACACAACCCUCACUCCAGCACCAUUCACACAACCCCUUGCUGCAGAAAUUGCAUUAACUAUGGGUCAAUCUGAUUAUUUGGUUGAUGUGAUUGGUAGGUGUUUCUGAGGAGAAGCAGUAUCUGAAGAGUUCCAUAGUUACUAGGGUUAUACAGAUUGAACUAACAGAUGACAGAACACAGAAAGUGGAAGGCAAACAAGGAAAGUGUAAGUAGAAAUAGCACCACUCACAAAAAAUGGUAGUUGAUUUAACUGGUGUUUCAAAUUGUCAAAUUCCAAUUUCCUAUACUUCUCUCACUAAAUCACUAUGUUGUGAGCUGGUUCUCAUUGGCUCUGUUAAGUACAUUUUCUUUCCUCCCUACAUUUUCUACCUCAAAAUCAACUUCGCUGUCUGCUUUAAUUACUUUUGGAUUUGUUAUGUCUCUAUUUACUAUUAUUGCUAAUGUCCACUUGAAGUAUAUUAGGUAAUGCAACUAUUAAUAUUUUUACUUUGAAGUAACUUUUUAACACUCCUAAUUCAGUAUCUUUAUUUGCAGCAUUGGUUUCUAUUAUAUGGCAAAGAUCGCAGUAACACCUUCAAUAGUUAUGCACUCAUGUAGAAUUUGUUCUGUAUAGGAAGAAAGUUUCUUGGCCCAAUGGAUCUAGCUUGACUAGCAAAAUCUUAUCAAAAUGUCUACCUAUAUGGAAGGAGCAACCUGCAUUUCACGUGUCACAUGUGUAUCUAGAUACUUUUCAUUGCAAUGGUAAUCUUUGGGUGACAACGGAACAA